AAAAAUGAAGUAUUGAAAAAAUGUAUAAUAAAAACAACACGUGUAUAUAUUUCAAGUCUUCAAAUAUUAUACGAUACUAUACAAAUAUAAAAUACAUAUAUCCCCCAUUUUAUAAUAAUAAUAAUUUACAAGGUUUGGCACGUGUUAGUUACACAAUCAUGCAUCCAAGUCCCAACAAUAACAUGAUACACGUGCGCCAUACAUGUGUUUUAAUAACCCCAAACUGAUAAAUAAAUAUUUUAUUAAAUUAAAAUUUCAUACACGAGUUCUUUAUUCGGUUUCCAGGUGGACACGUACGUUUUCACGUGAAUUACAAAAUGAUUUUCACUUUAAUUUGGCUUUUCACAGAACAAUCAUACGAGAAAGAAACACCAGCACAACUUUUAACGUGCAUAUCACUUGUAUGCUCUUUGUUUUUUUAUUUGUCUUCUCAAUACCUAAAAUUCCGAUUACAUGUUAAUAUAUAUAUAUAUACUCCAAAUGAACUGACAAAAAAAAAAACAAAGAGCAUACACUCACAAUUCUAUUCCAGUGUUCAUUUGUCAGUCCAAAUUCUGGGAAGUCCUCGAGAAUACUUUCCAAAUUCCACCACAAUCAACUUCAUCCAAAAGAAUCAACAGGGUAAUUGCAAGGACAAGCAGAUAACAACUGCUUUUUCUUGCCACUCACAUCUCAGUGUGAUUGGAAGAAGUAAAAUAAGAAGACAGGAAGAAAGCAUUAAUUACUAACACAAGCUUCCAUGUCAUCUGCUUUAUCAACCUUUCACAAAGCCAAAAGAAAAAUGCUUCAGCUAUAUUCUCUCCUAACUCACUUGCUGUUCUGACUACCCUACAGAUCAUUUAACAUGGAAUAAACAAUUACUAUAGACCUGACAGCCUCCAACAUGGUUAAACUAUUGUCAAUGGAGACGAAUUCAGUUUUAAUAGGAUGUGGAAACCUUGUCCUACUAACUUCCAAACUUCCAUCUUCACUUAUAAUUUCAGAAUUUCAGUCUUAACACUAAUCAAGCUAAAGGACAAGGCAGGCAGGCCAAAAAAAAGCCUUUAUAAGACUCAUCCAUUCUUCCAGAGGGGGGCAUUGAUCUACCAAAAUAAGUCACUCUAGAAAAUACGACACGGAAGAAAAUAGAGAAUGGGAGGCUAAAACAAAAAUCUCCACCUACUCAACCAAAAAUGAUGAUACUACUACCCAGUUCCACUGACAAAAUAGACUCAUUUCACCUAAUUUAACCCAAAAAGGAGAAACAAAAUAUGAAAAAGAAAAAAAAAAAAAAAAAGGUAUGCAUGCAAGUCAACCACAGUAGGAUACCACAGGCGUACACACCCAUGGUUUAAGUAUCUAAAAUUUACACCCAAGAAAAGAAACUUCAAUUUAAAUAUGGUUUUCUUAAUACAGGAAGCCGUGGUUCCUGUUGAUAAUCAUAUCCUUCAAGACAUCCGGAACACCAAGUGCUAGUAACUUCACUUGCCACCCAAGGAGGGGAACUGCCCUGGAUCUUCAAUGGAGGGUGCUGGUGCAUUGCUNNNNN
RNAcentral lists this long non-coding RNA (1528 nucleotides) under Carica papaya (papaya). Its description in RNAcentral is "long non-coding RNA (CPAP_LNC002753)". The record is from RNAcentral. Lineage: Eukaryota; Viridiplantae; Streptophyta; Magnoliopsida; Brassicales; Caricaceae.